UGACCAAUUCGACCUCAAAUCAGGCAG
RNAcentral lists this ribosomal RNA (27 nucleotides) under Hydnellum peckii (bleeding tooth fungus). RNAcentral's name for it is "partial 28S ribosomal RNA". The record is from RNAcentral. Lineage: Eukaryota; Fungi; Basidiomycota; Agaricomycetes; Thelephorales; Thelephoraceae.